Non-coding RNA from Myotis brandtii (Brandt's bat), 78 nucleotides. The record is from Rfam. NCBI's taxonomy places the organism in Eukaryota, Metazoa, Chordata, Mammalia, Chiroptera, Vespertilionidae.
CUUGGGGGGGGGGGGGGGUCCCCUCAGCCCGGAUUGCGAGAGGGUGCAGGCCAGGCCGAAGGACCCCACUGGUGCAGG